GACGAACGCUGGCGGCGUGCUUAACACAUGCAAGUCGAACGAUGAAGCCGGAGCUUGCUCUGGUGAAUUAGUGGCGAACGGGUGAGUAACACGUGAGUAACCUGCCCUUGACUCUGGGAUAACUGCUAGAAAUGGUAGCUAAUACCGGAUACGACCCUCGGCGGCAUCGCCAGGGGGUGGAAAGAAUUUCGGUCAAGGAUGGACUCGCGGCCUAUCAGCUAGUUGGUGAGGUAACGGCUCACCAAGGCGACGACGGGUAGCCGGCCUGAGCGGGUGACCGGCCACACUGGGACUGAGACACGGCCCAGACUCCUACGGGAGGCAGCAGUGGGGAAGAUUGCACAAUGGGCGCAAGCCUGAUGCAGCAACGCCGCGUGAGGGAUGACGGCCUUCGGGUUGUAAACCUCUUUUAGUAGGGAAGAAGCGAAAGUGACGGUACCUGCAGAAAAAGCACCGGCUAACUACGUGCCAGCCGCCGCAGUAA
This 484-nucleotide ribosomal RNA is filed under the name uncultured bacterium. Its description in RNAcentral is "partial 16S ribosomal RNA". It matches the Rfam family "Bacterial small subunit ribosomal RNA", at positions 28 to 523 of the family's 1533-position model. The record is from RNAcentral.